GGUAUUGCAGGCGGUGAGAUUUAGACGAGACGUGAGGCACGUACGUAGCGGUUGAUAGAUCUUUCGACCCAGGUCGUUCGGUUUAGCUCUUACCCUGUUUAUUUUUGUUGAUAUAUAGCUUAGAUAGUUUAUAUGGUUCAGUAUUUUUAUUACAUUUGAAUAUGUGGAUUUUCAUGAAUGUAAUAAAAGGUUUUCUACCCCUCGUGGUAGCGUUUUUAANUACAUUUGAAAAUGUGGAUUUCUGGAUUUUGUAAAAUAAAAGGUUUUCUACCCCUCGUGGUAGCGUUUUUAAAGAAUAAAAGUUUUUGUAUAGAAAAUAGUUUUCUAAAGAAUUGUCUGUGGAUUUAUGUUUAAAUAUUAAAUGCAAAUCUAUGAUGUGAAUGGUGAAUGUAUGAAUGUAUGAAUGAAUAAUUAUUUCUAUAUUUAUUUAGUUGUGGUUGUAUCCUGUUUAUAAUGUUGUACUUGUGCGACGCCGUGCAAAUACAGGGGAGACUCUGUCCGUGUGAACAGUGGAAUCCCUAUAUU
RNAcentral lists this long non-coding RNA (525 nucleotides) under Ananas comosus (pineapple). RNAcentral's name for it is "long non-coding RNA (ACOM_LNC013581)". Lineage: Eukaryota; Viridiplantae; Streptophyta; Magnoliopsida; Poales; Bromeliaceae. The record is from RNAcentral.